GCCCGCGGCAUUUAGUAAUUUUAAUUUGAAAUUAAAAAAUUUGAUUUGGUGAUCAACUCGGGCU
Molecule: transfer RNA, 64 nt
Filed under: Breviscolex orientalis
Lineage: Eukaryota; Metazoa; Platyhelminthes; Cestoda; Caryophyllidea; Capingentidae
Description: tRNA-Ser
Source: RNAcentral